RNAcentral lists this transfer RNA (70 nucleotides) under Tylototriton verrucosus (crocodile newt). Its description in RNAcentral is "transfer RNA-Gln". It matches the Rfam family "tRNA". Rfam says of the family: Transfer RNA (tRNA) molecules are approximately 80 nucleotides in length. The record is from RNAcentral. Lineage: Eukaryota; Metazoa; Chordata; Amphibia; Caudata; Salamandridae.
UAAAAAGUGGUGUAGUGAAGCACGAGGGGUUUUGAUCUCCUUGGGGUAGGUUCAAAUCCUAUUUUUUUAU